AAUGUGUCCCACUCCAAUCCCAAGGUUGCCUCAGGUUGUUGGUCAUGAAAGUAACAUCAGUUCCUAGGAAGAGAAAGUGGAGUGAGGUGGAGAUUGCGGCUGUAGAAGAGAAAAUGAUGAAAUUUAUUCACUCGGGAGUUACUCCUGGAAAAGUCGACUGCAUGGCAUGCAUUACAGCAGCCCCCAAAGCCCUUGGUGAACGAGACUGGCAGGCGGUGAAGUAUUAUAUAAAAAAACAGAAUCACAGAAUAUGAGAGAAGGACCACUAAAAAGUAAGGUUGAUUUUGGUUGUUGAUUCAGUUUUUGUGUUUU
This is a non-coding RNA of Pimephales promelas (fathead minnow), 312 nucleotides long. The record is from RefSeq and is a predicted model, not a curated record. Lineage: Eukaryota; Metazoa; Chordata; Actinopteri; Cypriniformes; Leuciscidae.